GUGCUUGCUUCGGCAGCACAUAUACUAAAAUUGGAAUGAUACAGAGAAGAUUAGCAUGGCCCCUGCACAAGGAUGACAUGCAAAUUCAUGAAGCGUUCCAUAUUUUU
Molecule: small nuclear RNA, 107 nt
Filed under: Mustela putorius furo (domestic ferret)
Lineage: Eukaryota; Metazoa; Chordata; Mammalia; Carnivora; Mustelidae
Source: RNAcentral